RNAcentral lists this ribosomal RNA (468 nucleotides) under uncultured bacterium. Its description in RNAcentral is "partial 16S ribosomal RNA". It matches the Rfam family "Bacterial small subunit ribosomal RNA", at positions 28 to 507 of the family's 1533-position model. The record is from RNAcentral.
GACGAACGCUGGCGGCGUGCUUAACACAUGCCAGUCGAACGGAAAGGCCCUGCUUUUGUGGGGUGCUCGAGUGGCGAACGGGUGAGUAACACGUGAGUAACCUGCCCUUGACUUUGGGAUAACUUCAGGAAACUGGGGCUAAUACCGGAUAGGAGCUCCUGCUGCAUGGUGGGGGUUGGAAAGUUUCGGCGGUUGGGGAUGGACUCGCGGCUUAUCAGCUUGUUGGUGGGGUAGUGGCUUACCAAGGCUUUGACGGGUAGCCGGCCUGAGAGGGUUACCGGCCACAUUGGGCCUGAGAUACGGACCAGAAGCCUACGGGAGGCAGCAGUGGGGAAUAUUGCACAAUGGGCGGAAGCCUGAUGCAGCAACGCCGCGUGCGGGAUGACGGCCUUCGGGUUGUAAACCGCUUUCGCCUGUGACGAAGCGUGAGUGACGGUAAUGGGUAAAGAAGCACCGGCUAACUACGUG